GUGUAAAGACUGCUGUUGCUAAGUCGCUUCAGUCGUGUCCAACUCUGGGCAACACAAUAGACGGCAGCCCACGAGGCUCCCCAGUCCCUGGGAUUCUCCAGGCAAGAACACUGGAGUGGGUUGCCAUUUCCUUCUCCAAUGCAUGAAAGUGAAAAGUGAAAGGGAAGUCGCUCAGUCGUGUCCAACUCUUCGCGACCCCAUGGACUGCAGCCCACCAGGCUCCUCCAUCCAUGGGAUUUUCCAGAGCACAGGCUCCAGAGCACAGGUCCAGUAGUUGCUCCACAGCAUGUGAGAUCUUCCCCGACCAGGUAUUGAACCUGCACCCCCUGUACCAGCAGGUGGACUCCCAACCACUGGGCCAUCAGGGAAGUCCCAGACAUUGUUCCUUAUUUGGUGCUGCUUGAAAUCUAUUGUCUGCUGAGAAUGCGGAAAACCAAGCCUUGAGUGUUGGUAAAUUUCUGAGUGAGGAAAUUCUCUUGUCUAUGAGAACUAUGACCUUCCAGCUUAGAUGUAUUGAUAUUUCUCACAUACUUUGGCAUCAUGUCUCAGACUCCUGUGGCCUGCUACCAUAUUAUCUAAUGUGCUGAUUCCUAGACAUUCUCAUUGAAGAUCACAAUCUGUAUGAUUUCAGUACCUUUAGACCAUGAAACUUUUGCACCUGGUUUUAUGUCCCUGGAUAUGUUCCAGUGUCUCCUGGUUUAUAGUCUAUGGGAACUUGAAUAAAAUUUGUAUCCUGCUAUUGUGUGAAAACUGCAUAAAUCUUAAUUAUGUUGAAUUGGUUCAGCGUGCUUUUCAAGUCUACUGUAUCAUCCUACAUUUCUGUCUAUUCAUUCUAUUAAUUUUUGAGAGCUCGAUAUUGAAACUCCAACAAAAAAAUCUUAAUUUAUCUAUUUAAAAUUUAUUGUAAAAUAUAGUAGAACUAUAUGUGACUUUGUUCUGUAUUUUCCAAGUCUCCUGUAAAUGUGUUAUCAUACUUUCAUAAUUUAAAAAAUAAAAAUUAAAGACAUAUACAUUUU
This is a long non-coding RNA of Bos taurus (domestic cattle), 1016 nucleotides long. The record is from Ensembl. NCBI's taxonomy places the organism in Eukaryota, Metazoa, Chordata, Mammalia, Artiodactyla, Bovidae.